UGCCAGGCUUUUGGUUGAGGACAGCAGCGGUUUUCCAUCACGACUGGCACCCUCCUCUUUGUCUUCCAUCUUCUCCCAUUUCUGCAUCCUCUUUACCCUGCCUACGAGGCAGCAACAGAGUCCAGUGUGGGUUUAAGAACAGACGGUGAGCCCUGGCUUCAUUGAUGUGUCCUCUUUCCCCGGCGACCACCGUUUCCUUCCACCACAGACCAGGGACUGCCCCAGUGCCAAUUCCCUGUAGAACUGGAUAGGACUUCUAUUUCUUCCCUUAAAAUACAAUCCUAUUCCUUUUGGUUUGAUCGAGAGCUUCAGCCUGCUACCCAAUCACUCUUGACCAAAAUCUCAAACCUCAGUGUAGAGGUAUUGCAGAAGACCAUUGUUAAUCUGAGGAGAUAGUGGUGACCACAAGUUUUUUUUCCUGUGUGUUUCGAUGACAACACCAGGCUGGAUUAAUGAUGUUGGGUUUUCUGUUUUAACUAAUUGCACUUGGUAUUGGAAUGGGGGAGAUGUUUUCUCUGCCCUUGGAAUGAAUCCCAGCUGUACUACCUUGUUUCACUAUAAGUUAGGAGGGCUUGUUUUUCUAUG
Long non-coding RNA from Gekko japonicus, 585 nucleotides. RefSeq lists it as uncharacterized. The transcript has 3 exons. NCBI's taxonomy places the organism in Eukaryota, Metazoa, Chordata, Lepidosauria, Squamata, Gekkonidae. The record is from RefSeq and is a predicted model, not a curated record.